AAGUCGUAACAAGGUCUCCGUAGGUGAACCUGCGGAGGGAUCAUUAACACGUGUAAAUACGUUUAUAUACAAACAUGGUAACAAGAGGAAGAAAGGGAAUUGAAAUUCAUUUUUCAAUACACUUUCCGAAUCAGGAUCUCCCUAUUAUAGUAUACUAUAAUGUAACAACUUUAUUGUUCUUAUACUAUAUAUACAAUAGUAGGCUCUUUAUAUAUUAACUAACCCCUUUCCAACUGGUGACCUAACCGUUGCCACUUCAAUGACAUUUUGUCUGUUAUUUUAUUAUAACAAACAUUUAUAUUCAAUGCAAAGCACAACUCUUAGCAACGGAUAUCUUGGUUCUC
Molecule: unclassified non-coding RNA, 344 nt
Filed under: fungal sp.
Lineage: Eukaryota; Fungi
Description: partial internal transcribed spacer region
Rfam family: Eukaryotic small subunit ribosomal RNA (bases 1-46)
Source: RNAcentral